Hyla sarda is the source of this 127-nucleotide small nuclear RNA. RefSeq annotates it as U4atac minor spliceosomal RNA. The transcript has a single exon. The record is from RefSeq and is a predicted model, not a curated record. NCBI's taxonomy places the organism in Eukaryota, Metazoa, Chordata, Amphibia, Anura, Hylidae.
ACCAUCCUUCUCUUGGGGUUGAGCUACUGAGCAAUGAAUGUCUAAUGAGGUCAGUACUGCUAACACCACAAACAACACAAAAGCAUCACUAGUGUGCAAACACUAGCAAGGUGCAAUUUUUGGAAUC